RNAcentral lists this ribosomal RNA (229 nucleotides) under uncultured bacterium. RNAcentral's name for it is "partial 16S ribosomal RNA". It matches the Rfam family "Bacterial small subunit ribosomal RNA", at positions 568 to 796 of the family's 1533-position model. The record is from RNAcentral.
CGCGUAGGCGGUUUGCUAAGUCCGAUGUUAAAGACCGAGGCUCAACCUCGACACGGCGUUGGAUACUGGCAAGCUUGACGGCUGGAGAGGCGAGUGGAAUUACCAGUGUAGCGGUGGAAUGCGUAGAUACUGGUAGGAACACCUAUUGCGAAGGCAGCUCGCUGGACAGCACGUGACGCUGAGGCGCGAAAGUGUGGGGAGCAAACAGGAUUAGAUACCCUGGUAGUCC